UACGUAGGUGGCAAGCGUUGUCCGGAUUUACUGGGUGUAAAGGGCGCGUAGGCGGGGCGGAAAGUCCGAUGUGAAAUCCCACGGCUCAACCGUGGAACCGCAUCGGAAACUUCCGCUCUUGAGUAUCGGAGAGGAAAGCGGAAUUCCUAGUGUAGCGGUGAAAUGCGUAGAUAUUAGGAGGAACACCGGUGGCGAAGGCGGCUUUCUGGCCGGAAACUGACGCUGAGGCGCGAAAGCGUGGGGAGCAAACAGG
RNAcentral lists this ribosomal RNA (253 nucleotides) under uncultured bacterium. RNAcentral's name for it is "partial 16S ribosomal RNA". It matches the Rfam family "Bacterial small subunit ribosomal RNA", at positions 524 to 776 of the family's 1533-position model. The record is from RNAcentral.